RNAcentral lists this long non-coding RNA (3055 nucleotides) under Sus scrofa (pig). RNAcentral describes it as "lncRNA (ENSSSCG00055018829.1)". The record is from RNAcentral. Lineage: Eukaryota; Metazoa; Chordata; Mammalia; Artiodactyla; Suidae.
ACUGGAGGUGGUGGCGGAGAGGCAGGUGGCAGGGGCGAGCCCGGCGGAGCGGAGGUCCGGGCCUCUGGAGCCCCGCGUCGGGGCGAGACGGUCAUCCCGGAAGGUUGAGCCCAGUUUUCAUCCAUCUGGAAGCUGUCACGAUGACCCUGACAAAAGGUUCCUUCACCUACUCCAGUGGGGAGGAGUAUCGUGGCGAGUGGAAGGAGGGUGAGAGGACCCAGGGUGGGGGGUUGUCCAGUGAUGAACCCACUUCAUUGGGUUGAAGGGCAGAUACAUCAGGAUAUAUAAGCCAGUUUUGUAAGUCUCCCUUUCUGGCUGUGAGAUUGAAUCCAAAUAGUGCCUUUCCUUUGUUUGAUUUUCGGAUUAUAAAUAAAGAGAUUAGAAAAUGCUAUUGCUACUCCAACCUCCAGAAAUAAGUUAAAUCUUCGUACUUCUAAAUUUAAAGUGUUUUAACACUCUGUUUUCCUUUGGUGGUAUUAUUUGGGAGUCGUUUUUAUAAAUGCUAAUGUACUCAGCAGAGCAAAAUGAAUUAUUUUUAGUGCCCAUAAAUUAGAAAGUGCAGAUUCAUUGCAAUGACUUGAUUCCAGUGAAUCUUAAAAAGUUACGGAAGAAAUUAGGGCAGACACUCAAGAGCAGAUGAUAUUCAUUGCCUUGAAUUUCCUGGGACAGCUCUUUACAUUUGGAAGUAUCUAUUCAUAGGAAUGGCAAAAUUCCUCAGGGCCUGAGACUGUACAGGAAGGAUUUUAAUGAUGUUCCAUUUGGGAACAGCCUGGCCACUUAAAAGUCUCAUGGGUCCAAUCCUAGCAACCCAGGAACUGCCCCGAAGGAGACUUGCCUCUCUAUAGCUGUGCCAAUGAUGUGCAGUUCACACUGUUUCCAGACGCCUCACUCUUUUCAUUCAGCUGGUGAAUUCUUGAGCCUUGAGAGAAAUUAUGCACAUUUCCAGUCUUUUCUCCCACCUCCCUACCACCUGCUGUCUUAUUUUAUUUUAUUUCAUUUUACUUUAUUUUAUUGUACUUUUGUCUUUUUAGGGCGGCACGCAUGGCAUAUGGAGGUUCCCAGGCAGGGGUCUAAUUGGAGCUGUAGCCGCUGGCCUACACCAGAGCCAUAGCAACGCAGGAUCCAAGCCGCAUCUUCGACCUACACCACAGCUCAUGGCAACACUGGAUCCUUAACCCACUGAGCAAGGCCAGGGAUUAAACCUGCAACCUCAUGGUUCCUAGUCGGAUUCGUUAACCACUGAGCCACGAUGGGAACUCCUAGCUAUUGUGAUUUUUAAGUGCUCUCUUAUCUUUCAUUCUUGGAGAGUCCUGCUCCAAACUGAUGGUUGUGACUUAAGGGAAGAUCCUAGGAGCCAGCUUAUUACUCUGGGCAACAGUUCCCUGCUCUGCUAAUGUCACUGUUUCUCUUCUUUCCUUUGUCGGUGGGGUGACAUAAGGCAAGGGAUGUUAGACCAUGAGAGGGGACCCUGAAGCUGCCCCAUCCCAAGCUGACACCUGUCUUCUCUUUGCUCAGGCCGCAGACAUGGUUUUGGUCAACUGAUGUUUGCUGAUGGUGGCACCUACCUGGGCCAUUUUGAAAAUGGGCUCUUUAAUGGUUUUGGGGUACUGACCUUCUCAGACGGCUCGAGGUAUGAGGGCGAGUUUGCCCAGGGCAAGUUCAACGGUGUCGGAGUCUUCAUUCGACACGACAACAUGACCUUCGAAGGGGAAUUUAAAAACGGCCGCGUGGACGGUUUGGGCCUGCUGACUUUCCCCGACGGUUCUCAUGGAAUACCCCGAAACGAAGGUCUGUUUGAGAAUAACAAGCUCUUGCGGCGUGAAAAGUGCCCCGCAGUGGUUCAGCGGGCCCAGAGCGCCUCCAAGUCAGCCAGGAGCCUCGCGGCCUGAGGGCGCCACGCCCAGCUGACCAGGAACCAGGAGGGCCCUGCCACCCGCUCGAGGUGAACCAACAGACCGAUGUGAAAGGAGAUUUGAAUGACCUGGGAGCGGAAGCCCUGGGAGUGGCCCCAUCACCUGCCAGGCAGGGCUUCGAUCUCAGGCGGGAGGCCCCUGCAGCUGCAGUUACCUGCUCUGUCCUUCCCCUCUCUUGCUCGUUGGGUCUCUCCAUCCCUAACACUCUGGUCCCCCAGCACAGACCAGCUGCUGCCUUCCUCCCACUUCCUUUUCUGCCGAGUGAUGCAGAAUCUCUCCCUUCUGCUUCUCAUUGGGGCAGAUGAUCCCAGCCCCAGAUCAGGGCCAGGGCUUUGUGCCGCCCUGGAAAGAAAGAAGGGAAACGACAGGGGCAGCUUAGACAUACAUCACUGUGGUCCUGUGAAAGUCAAGGCCACAGCUUUUCUGUCUCUUACUCCCUGGUUCGCUUCUGGUGGCCGUGGUGGCCCCAGGCUUCUCCCUUGUCUGACCAGACCAGUACUCGUGUCCGCCUCCUGCUCCUGUGGGUUCCGUGAAGUGCUCCUUCCCUCACCCUUGACUUUACCCGCUGUCUUCCUUACCUGAGUUCCAGCAGAUCAUUUGGGCCCCUUUUUCCUUCCUUAGACCUGGGACAGGAUCCCUCUAGUCAAAAAGAAACGGAUGUAAACAGUCACUGUAUGAGUUUGUCACUUACUUCGGGGCAAAGAGCAGACAUCUCUGGACAGCGUCAGGCCCUAUCACAGAGUGACCUGAAUCCUUAGGAGUGGCUUGGGCCGACAUGGAUCCUUCCCACUGGACCAGUAGGUCAGGCCCACCUCAACCCCUUGGCGUUCAGGUAGAAUUGGACCCAUGCUGGACGGCAGUGAACUAAAGAGCGUUGGGUUCACUGGAACUCUCCCACCGUGAGCCUUGGCCAUCGGGCCUCAGGAUCAGAUCUUGACCAAUAGGAUCCCUGCACAGUUCAUCACAGGGGCCUCCCAUGACCCUGUGACCCAAACACACCCCCACCCCCACCCCCAGCCCCUGAUCCUCACGCUCAGUGUCCCCUCCACAUAGAUUGUGGUGGAAAUUAUAGCUGUGUGCCUCUGUUUAUUCUCUGACUUGUACUGUAGAAACAAGUGUUUAUGAGGAAUAAACAAAUCACC